This is a long non-coding RNA of Biomphalaria glabrata, 787 nucleotides long. RefSeq lists it as uncharacterized. The record is from RefSeq and is a predicted model, not a curated record. NCBI's taxonomy places the organism in Eukaryota, Metazoa, Mollusca, Gastropoda, Planorbidae. The transcript is spliced from 4 exons.
UCUUGGGUGUUUAGCCCCCGCGAAACAUGCAGUCUAUUUGUGUGUGUAACACUCUAGUCGAGAUUUCUAGAAGGCAAGAGUGAGUGGAUUCUUCGCUCACUCAAACAAUGCAAGAGCUAAUGAUGGCUGGGGACUUCUGUCCAAGCCUUCGUGUGUCGUAUGUGAUACAAGGCUGUCCAAGGGACGUCACUCCGAAAGAGGAAAGCAGCAACGGGAAAUGGCUAUACCAAUACAGGACACCACUUACAAUCAAGAUGUGUGCUUCUAGACUUGUGGAUUAUCUACUUUCUGAUUGCAUUCAGUUCAAGCUUGAUACCAUGUGCUGGUGGUGCCACGAUUUCUUGUAAUUUUGGUUUUUCUUUUGAGAAUUAAGGCAGAUGACCCUGUUGAACAUGUUCUGUUCUUGGCGAGAAGAGAAUACGAACCUCGCGCUUCUCAUGUCCGCACAUGCGCACAAACUGAACAAAAAAAAAAUUGGGAAACGAAUGAUGAAGAAAAAAAAAAGGUUUCUGAAAAUAUGAACAGACGAAAGAAGGCACUGCUUACUUAUAUACUCUGGAAGUAUACAAUGUCUACGAAAUGUCAUAUCUGUAGCCAACAGACAAUGGAAAGUUUAUUCUAUUUUUAAAGAAAGAUUCAAUACACUUCAGAAAUCACGGAUUACAUAUUUCAUGGAUUAUUGGAUAUUUUAUUUUCCAAUUGACAAAGAUGUGAGAACAAGAGAUAAAGAGACACUUAGAUCAAAGAGAAAUAUGGAGCAGACGUGACAAGUCUUAACAGUAAAAAA